GGGGAUUUAGCUCAGUGGCAUAAGCACCUGCCUUGCAAGCACGCUGUCCUGAGUUAAAUCCCCA
RNAcentral lists this transfer RNA (64 nucleotides) under Cavia porcellus (domestic guinea pig). It matches the Rfam family "tRNA". Rfam says of the family: Transfer RNA (tRNA) molecules are approximately 80 nucleotides in length. Their secondary structure includes four short double-helical elements and three loops (D, anti-codon, and T loops). Further hydrogen bonds mediate the characteristic L-shaped molecular structure. tRNAs have two regions of fundamental functional importance: the anti-codon, which is responsible for specific mRNA codon recognition, and the 3' end, to which the tRNAs corresponding amino acid is attached (by aminoacyl-tRNA synthetases). tRNAs cope with the degeneracy of the genetic code in two manners: having more than one tRNA (with a specific anti-codon) for a particular amino acid; and 'wobble' base-pairing, i.e. permitting non-standard base-pairing at the 3rd anti-codon position. The record is from Rfam by way of RNAcentral. Lineage: Eukaryota; Metazoa; Chordata; Mammalia; Rodentia; Caviidae.